RNAcentral lists this long non-coding RNA (1332 nucleotides) under Homo sapiens (human). RNAcentral describes it as "HSALNT0021749". The record is from RNAcentral. Lineage: Eukaryota; Metazoa; Chordata; Mammalia; Primates; Hominidae.
GCUUGUCCCUCAAACUAUUUUAUAAGCAUCCGAUGUUUUGGCUGCAGGGACGAUUUCCAGAUUAGUCUCGAUUACAUUUAUUUCUAAAGGAUCUCGGUGUGUUCUGAGCACACGCCUGAGAGCGGAGCCGGGUAGAGCUGAGCAGAGCGCGGCGAGCUAAGUUUUCUCACGGGCUCCUGUCCCCCUGAAGCCCCCUUGGCGCCUGCCCUGAGCGUUCGCAGGCAACCGAGGCAGCGUUCUUCGGGAUGUGCCAAGCGCCGCCCGCCCGCUCGCUCCUCCAGCUCGGCCCCUUCCCCUGCAACAGACCACACGGUUCAAGACGACGAUGUGACAGAGAGAAAACAAGCCGCUCUCUUGUCUGUGACCCGCGAGGCGACCGCGGCGAGCGGGCACCAGCUCCCCACUCCGAUUAGGCAAUUAGCUGAUUGCUGCCUGCCCGCAGCCCGAGCGAGCGGUGCGCGGGGAUCUCGCUGCCUGCCCACCUCUCCUGCAAACAGAGGCACGUUCUCCGACUUUGAUAGCUCCCUGGGUUCCUGUGAAAAACAACCACAGCGUUUCCAGAGUGUGUUUCUCAAAUACCAGCGUCAGGGGAUCGCAGAAUUACAGCAGCAAAUGUUACGAGGUUGACACUGCUGUUCAGGUGAAGGAGAGUUCAGAGUCUCAGAGAGCAGCAGCAGCUUGUGCUUCUGGGAAAAUGGAAGGAUGACUCCCAGGCAGCCGAUCCUGCCACUCCGUAAAAUGGAAGAACCUUGGCUCCCCGUGUGAAUUCUCUUUGUGAUUUGGAAGACAAAUACCUCUGCUGAGUUGUCUAUGAACAGGUACUGCAGAUGGUUGGACCCUGGUUCUUACAGGCUGUGCUGGAAGUGAGGGAAGUGAUUUCACUCUCGUUCAGCCCUCCUAAGUGGUUAGGUAAGGGUGGGCUCUUGGAAGAUAAUGAAUGAUGUGCAGUAUAAGUAACUCUGAGGGACAGUAGGGGUGGUAGGUUACCAUGUUAGGUCUCACUGUGAAUAGAUAAUGUAUUAUAUAAAGUUGUAUAAAGUCAUUGUGCAACUUGGAGAUGUAUCACCAUCCCUUUGGCUGUAAGGCAGUGCUGAAUACUUUUUCUUAGGGAAUCCCAGGCAAUAGGGAAUUCCUCAGAAUCUCUUCUCAUCUUGAUAUUGGAAUCCAAGGGCUACUUUAAUAAGAUCAAAGGACUUCAAGGGAAGCAAGAAAAAGAGGGUACCCAAAUACCUUCCAGAGUGUUUUGCUCCUCUUGAGAAUUCUAGAUAAUGAUGCAUGACCCACUCCUUUGUUCAGAGAUGUCAGCCUGUGAAUCAGAGGCUAAAGAUCCCU